RNAcentral lists this ribosomal RNA (253 nucleotides) under uncultured bacterium. Its description in RNAcentral is "partial 16S ribosomal RNA". It matches the Rfam family "Bacterial small subunit ribosomal RNA", at positions 524 to 776 of the family's 1533-position model. The record is from RNAcentral.
UACGGGGGGUGCGAGCGUUGUCCGGAAUCACUGGGCGUAAAGGGCGCGUAGGUGGUUUGAUAAGGGUGUGGUGAAAGUCCGGGGCUCAACCCCGGAUCUGCCGUGCCGACUGUCAAACUCGAGGGCUGUAGAGGCAGACGGAAUUCCGGGUGUAGCGGUGGAAUGCGUAGAGAUCCGGAAGAACACCGGUGGCGAAGGCGGCCUGCUGGGCAGCAGCUGACACUGAGGCGCGACAGCGUGGGGAGCAAACAGG